RNAcentral lists this ribosomal RNA (497 nucleotides) under uncultured bacterium. RNAcentral's name for it is "partial 16S ribosomal RNA". It matches the Rfam family "Bacterial small subunit ribosomal RNA", at positions 28 to 507 of the family's 1533-position model. The record is from RNAcentral.
GAUGAACGCUGGCGGCGUGCCUAAUACAUGCAAGUCGAGCGAACGGACGAGAAGCUUGCUUCUCUGAUGUUAGCGGCGGACGGGUGAGUAACACGUGGAUAACCUACCUAUAAGACUGGGAUAACUUCGGGAAACCGGAGCUAAUACCGGAUAAUAUUUUGAACCGCAUGGUUCAAAAGUGAAAGACGGUCUUGCUGUCACUUAUAGAUGGAUCCGCGCUGCAUUAGCUAGUUGGUAAGGUAACGGCUUACCAAGGCAACGAUGCAUAGCCGACCUGAGAGGGUGAUCGGCCACACUGGAACUGAGACACGGUCCAGACUCCUACGGGAGGAAGCAGUAGGGAAUCUUCCGCAAUGGGCGAAAGCCUGACGGAGCAACGCCGCGUGAGUGAUGAAGGUCUUCGGAUCGUAAAACUCUGUUAUUAGGGAAGAACAUAUGUGUAAGUAACUGUGCACAUCGUGACGGUACCUAAUCAGAAAGCCACGGCUAACUACGUG